UACGGAGGGUGCGAGCGUUGUCCGGAAUCACUGGGCGUAAAGGGCGCGUAGGCGGCCUGAUAAGUAGGGGGUGAAAUCCUGCGGCUUAACCGCAGGGCUGCCUUCUAAACUGUCAGGCUAGAGCACAGUAGAGGCAGGUGGAAUUCCCGGUGUAGCGGUGAAAUGUGUAGAGAUCGGGAGGAACACCGGUGGCGAAGGCGGGUCUCUGGGCAAUUCCUGACGCUGAGGCGCGAAAGCGUGGGGAGCAAACGGG
RNAcentral lists this ribosomal RNA (253 nucleotides) under uncultured bacterium. RNAcentral's name for it is "partial 16S ribosomal RNA". It matches the Rfam family "Bacterial small subunit ribosomal RNA", at positions 524 to 776 of the family's 1533-position model. The record is from RNAcentral.